UUGGAGGGCAAGUCUGGUGCCAGCAGCCGCGGUAAUUCCAGCUCCAAUAGCGUAUAUUAAAGUUGUUGCAGUUAAAAAGCUCGUAGUUGAAUUUCGGGGUUAGUAGGCUGGUCAUGCCACAGGUAUGCACUGGUCUUACUGAUUCCUCCUUCCUGAUGAACCGUAAUGCCAUUAAUUUGGUGUUGCGGGGAGUCUGGACUGUUACUUUGAAAAAAUUAGAAUGUUUAAAGCAGGCUAACGCUUGAAUACAUUAGCAUGGAAUAACGAAAUAGGACGUUCGAUCUUAUUUUGUUGGUUUCUAGGAUUGACGUAAUGAUUAAUAGGGAUAGUUGGGGGCAUUAGUAUUCAAUUGUCAGAGGUGAAAUUCUUGGAUUUAUUGAAGACUAACUACUGCGAAAGCAUUUGCCAAGGAUGUUUUCAUUAAUCAAGAACGAAAGUUAGGGGAUCGAAGACGAUCAGAUACCGUCGUAGUCUUAACCAUAAACUAUGCCGACUAGGGAUCGGAUGAUGUUAAUUUUAUAAUGACUCAUUCGGCGCCUUACGGGAAAC
RNAcentral lists this ribosomal RNA (549 nucleotides) under uncultured Glomus. RNAcentral's name for it is "SSU rRNA". It matches the Rfam family "Eukaryotic small subunit ribosomal RNA", at positions 548 to 1098 of the family's 1831-position model. The record is from RNAcentral. Lineage: Eukaryota; Fungi; Glomeromycota; Glomeromycetes; Glomerales; Glomeraceae.